GAUGAACGCUGGCGGCGUGCCUAACACAUGCAAGUCGAGCGUGAACCCUGCGAAUGAAACUUCGGUCGAUUUGCGAGGGGGAAAGCGGGCGGACGGGUGAGUAACGCGUAGGUAACCUGCCCCAUACUGAGGGAUAGCCUCGGGAAACCGGGAUUAAUACCUCAUAACACCGUAUAUUCGCAUGGAUGUGCGGUCAAAGAUUUAUCGGUAUGGGGAUGGGCCUGCGUCUGAUUAGCUGGUUGGUGGGGUAACGGCCUACCAAGGCGACGAUCAGUAGCCGACCUGAGAGGGUGAUCGGCCACAUUGGAACUGAGACACGGUCCAAACUCCUACGGGAGGCAGCAGUGGGGAAUAUUGCACAAUGGGCGAAAGCCUGAUGCAGCAACGCCGCGUGAGCGAAGAAGGCCUUUGGGUCGUAAAGCUCUGUCGGGUAGGAAGAUAAUGACGGUACUACCCGAGGAAGCCCCGGCUAACUACGUG
RNAcentral lists this ribosomal RNA (480 nucleotides) under uncultured bacterium. Its description in RNAcentral is "bacterial SSU rRNA". It matches the Rfam family "Bacterial small subunit ribosomal RNA", at positions 28 to 507 of the family's 1533-position model. The record is from RNAcentral.